AUUGAACGCUGGCGGCAGGCCUAACACAUGCAAGUCGAGCGGUAGAGGGGAGCUUGCUUCCCUUGAGAGCGGCGGACGGGUGAGUAAUGCCUAGGAAUCUGCCUAGUAGUGGGGGAUAACGUUCGGAAACGGACGCUAAUACCGCAUACGUCCUACGGGAGAAAGUGGGGGAUCUUCGGACCUCACGCUAUUAGAUGAGCCUAGGUCGGAUUAGCUAGUUGGUGAGGUAAUGGCUCACCAAGGCUACGAUCCGUAACUGGUCUGAGAGGAUGAUCAGUCACACUGGAACUGAGACACGGUCCAGACUCCUACGGGAGGCAGCAGUGGGGAAUAUUGGACAAUGGGCGCAAGCCUGAUCCAGCCAUGCCGCGUGUGUGAAGAAGGUCUUCGGAUUGUAAAGCACUUUAAGUUGGGAGGAAGGGUUG
RNAcentral lists this ribosomal RNA (425 nucleotides) under uncultured bacterium. RNAcentral's name for it is "bacterial SSU rRNA". It matches the Rfam family "Bacterial small subunit ribosomal RNA", at positions 30 to 455 of the family's 1533-position model. The record is from RNAcentral.